GAUGAACGCUGGCGGCGUGCCUAAUACAUGCAAGUCGAGCGAACGGACGAGAACCUGGAUUCUCAGGUGUUAGCGGCGGACGGGUGAGUAACACGUGGAUAACCUACCUCUCAGCCUGGGAUAACUGCGGGAAACCGGCGCUAAUACCGGAUAAUGUUGUGAACUACAUGGUUCAAAAGAGAAAGACGGGCUUGCUGUCACUUAUCGAUGGAUCCGCGCUGUAUUAGCUAAUUGGUAAGGUAACGGCUUACCAAGUCAACGAUGCAUAGCCGACCUGAGAGGGGGAUCGGCCACACGGGAACUGAGACACGGUCAAUACUCCUGAGGGAGGCAGCAGUAGGGAAUCUUCCGCAAUGGGCGAAAGCCUGACGGAGCAACGCCGCGUGAGUGAUGAAGGUCUUCGGAUCGUAAAGCUCUGUUAUUAGGGAAGAACAUAUGUGUAAGUAACUGUGCACAUCUUGACGGUACCUAAUCAGAAAGCCACGGCUAACUACGUG
This 497-nucleotide ribosomal RNA is filed under the name uncultured bacterium. Its description in RNAcentral is "partial 16S ribosomal RNA". It matches the Rfam family "Bacterial small subunit ribosomal RNA", at positions 28 to 507 of the family's 1533-position model. The record is from RNAcentral.